AUACGUAGGUGGCAAGCGUUGUCCGGAAUUAUUGGGCGUAAAGCGCGCGCAGGCGGUCCUUUAAGUCUGAUGUGAAAGCCCACGGCUCCACCGUGGAGGGUCAUUGGAAACUGGGGGACUUGAGUGCAGAAGAGGAAAGUGGAAUUCCAAGUGUAGCGGUGAAAUGCGUAGAGAUUUGGAGGAACACCAGUGGCGAAGGCGACUGUCUGGUCUGUAACUGACACUGAGGCGCGAAAGCGUGGGGAGCAAACAGGAUUAGAUACCCUGGUAGUCCACGCCGUAAACGAUGAGUGCUAAGUGUUGGGGGGUUUCCGCCCCUCAGUGCUGCAGCUAACGCAUUAAGCACUCCGCCUGGGGAGUACGGUCGCAAGACUGAAACUCAAAGGAAUUGACGGGG
This 397-nucleotide ribosomal RNA is filed under the name uncultured bacterium. RNAcentral's name for it is "partial 16S ribosomal RNA". It matches the Rfam family "Bacterial small subunit ribosomal RNA", at positions 523 to 918 of the family's 1533-position model. The record is from RNAcentral.